Passer domesticus (house sparrow) is the source of this 221-nucleotide long non-coding RNA. RefSeq lists it as uncharacterized. The record is from RefSeq and is a predicted model, not a curated record. NCBI's taxonomy places the organism in Eukaryota, Metazoa, Chordata, Aves, Passeriformes, Passeridae. The transcript has 3 exons.
AGCCAUCCUCCUGGUGCUCUGUCCCCUGCCCAAAGCUCUUAAUUCCUCUCUUGGGAGUAAGGGAUGGACAAAAUCUGCCAGCAAGGUGAAGAUGGCUGACUCCAGUGGAACAAGAACUCAAGAUGUGCGUAGAAGUCAUAGUUCAGUUUCUUAAAGUGUUAAUUGAAAAAGAAGAAGAACAACAGAAAAAGGCAAAAUUAGAAGGAGGUAAAUAAACCAAG